AGCGAACGCUGGCGGCAGGCCUAACACAUGCAAGUCGAACGAACCCUUCGGGGUUAGUGGCGGACGGGUGAGUAACACGUGGGAACGUACCUUAGGUUCGGAACAACACAGGGGAAACUUGUGCUAAUGCCGAAUGUGCCCUUCGGGGGAAAGAUUUAUCGCCUUUAGAGCGGCCCGCGUCUGAUUAGCUUGUUGGUGAGGUAAAGGCUCACCAAGGCUUCGAUCAGUAGCUGGUCUGAGAGGAUGAUCAGCCACACUGGGACUGAGACACGGCCCAGACUCCUACGGGAGGCAGCAGUGGGGAAUCUUGCGCAAUGGGCGAAAGCCUGACGCAGCCAUGCCGCGUGAAUGAUGAAGGUCUUAGGAUUGUAAAAUUCUUUCACCGGGGAAGAUAAUGACGGUACCCGGAGAAGAAGCCCCGGCUAACUUCGUGCCAGCAGCCGCGGUAAU
RNAcentral lists this ribosomal RNA (450 nucleotides) under uncultured bacterium. RNAcentral describes it as "bacterial SSU rRNA". It matches the Rfam family "Bacterial small subunit ribosomal RNA", at positions 29 to 524 of the family's 1533-position model. The record is from RNAcentral.